Long non-coding RNA from Brachypodium distachyon (stiff brome), 574 nucleotides. RefSeq lists it as uncharacterized. NCBI's taxonomy places the organism in Eukaryota, Viridiplantae, Streptophyta, Magnoliopsida, Poales, Poaceae. The record is from RefSeq and is a predicted model, not a curated record. The transcript has 3 exons.
GUUAACCAAUUCCUACAUGGAUUGGCAGUUGUCCACUCAACCAAUGUGUGCAUUUGUAGAAGGAUGUGUUGUUCAUUUGUUGUUGCAGUGACUGCGACGCUUUGUGAUGGAUGUGUACGGUAGGUUGAAGUGACGGCGACGUUUUUGGAAGGAUGCGUGCAUUUGUUGUUGGAGAAGCAAAUCCCGAGAAAAAGGAUUCAAAUCAAUGUGCAAACAGAAGACAACUGUUCAGGACCAACUGGAUGGAAAGUCCAAACCUGAAGAUGGCAAAAGAAGAGGACAGAUGACUUGUUAUUUUGUCUUGGCCCCAUCAAUGAGGUUAAGGCGUUAAGCUACUAUAGUAGAUAAAGUGUCAUGUUGCUGCAUUCUUCUAGGUUUGCAAUUUGGGAAAUAUCUAUUGAUCCACAUGCAAAAAACAGCAGAUCUAGUCCAGGUGCCAUCUCAGGUCAUCAGGUGUCAAACUGAGAUAUGUUUGGUAUCUAGGAAUUACAUCAUCACGCUCUCAGUCUGGCACUUUGGUUUUUGCUAAGUAUCAAUGCUAUUUCUGAAAGAAACUGAAAGUUCAGAUUUGGUG